GUAGUCCACGCCGUAAACGAUGGACGCUCGGCCGUUGGGAGCUAUCAACGCUCCUGGGGGCCUUAGCUGACGCGGCAAGCGUCCCGCCUGGGAACUACGAGCGCAAGCUUAAAACUCAAAGGAAUUGACGGGGCCCGCACAAGCAGCGGAGCGUGUGGUUUAAUUCGACGCAACACGCAAAACCUUACCCAGUUUGGACAUGGAGCUGCAAGGCCGUGAAAGCGGCUCGCCUUCGAGGGUGCUCCACAGAUGCUGCAUGGCUGUCGUCAGCUCGUGUCGUGAGAUGUUGGGUUAAG
Molecule: ribosomal RNA, 296 nt
Filed under: uncultured bacterium
Lineage: Bacteria
Description: partial 16S ribosomal RNA
Rfam family: Bacterial small subunit ribosomal RNA
Source: RNAcentral